UUUUUUUUUUUACUUAAAAUAUCCUUUGUGGGCAGCCCCGGUGGCGCAGCGGUUUAGCGCCGCCUGCAGCCUGGGGUGUGAUCCUGGAGACCCAGGAUCGAGUCCCGUAUCAGGCUCCCUGCAUGGAGCCUGCUUCUCCCUCUGCCUGCGUCUCUGCCUCUCUCUCUCUCUCUGUGUCUCUCAUGAAUAAAUAAAUAAAAUCUUAAAAAAAAAAUCCUUUGCCUCCCUACCUUUUAACUGCUCCCUUCCCCCAACAUUUACCCAAUUAAGAGUACUCUUUUUCUUUUUUUUUUGGAAGUCUAACCCUAUUUCCACCUCAUCUAUGAAGAUUUCCUAAAAGGAGUGAAGCAGGGACUCUAGAGCCAGGCUGGGUUUAACUGCCUGUUCUUUGUCUUCUUCUAGUUACAUAGCCUUGGGUAGGUGAUAUAUAUAUAUAUAUAUAUAUAUCAUAUAUAUUCAUAACAGAAAGAGGGAAAUAGACUGCAAAUCAGAAAUCAGGGAACUAGAACACAAACACAGCAAAAUAAUAGAGAAAAAUCAAUGAAACCAAAAGCUAGUUAUUUGUAAAGAUCAAUAAAAUUGGAGAAGACAUAAAUUACAAACACUAGGAAUGAAAUAAAAGGAAUCACCAAUCCUACUGGCAAGACAAGGGUUUUGCUCUCACCAUUUUCUUUUUUUUUUUUUUCCACUAUUUUACUUAUCUAUUUGACAGAGAGAGAGAGAGCAUGAACAGGGGGAGGGGCAGGCAGAGGAAGAAGGACAGGGAGAAGCAGGCUCUCGAUUUCAGGAUCCCGGGACUCUGGGAUCAUGACCUGGGAUGAAGGCAACAUCUUAACCAACUGAGCCACCCAGUUGCCCUGCUCUCACCAUUUUUAUUCAACAAUGUACUAACUAUCCUAGCCAGUACAGUAAUGCAAGAAAAAGGAAAUAAAAGGGAUACAGAUUGGAAAGAGAGGCAAGCCUUUUGUUUUAAGGUAUGAUUAUCAAUGUAAAAAAUACAAGGAUACAAGAUCAAUAUACAAAACUAAAUUAUACCUCCAUAUAUUAAAUGCAGCAAAGAACUGGACAUUGAAUUUUUUUAAAAAGUAUAAUCUAUAAUAGCAUCCAAAAAGGGGAAAUAUUUAGGGAUAAAAGUAACAAAAUAUGUACAAGAUCAGUAUUUUGAAAAGUACACAAUGCUGCUGAGAAAAAUUUCUAAAGAUCCAAAUAAAUGGAAUGAUAUACUAUGUUUAUGGGUCAGAAGAUUCAGUAUUACAAGUUGUCAAUUCUACCUAAAUCAAUCUCUAAAGUCUGUGUAAUCCCAUUCAAUAAUUCAGCAGACUUUUUUUUUUUUCAGCAGACUUUUUUGGGUAGAGUUAAUAUUAAUACGUGGCUCUAAAAUUUGAAUACAAAUGCAAAGAGAGCUGAAACAAUUUUUGAAAAGGACAAAGUGAUUUCAAGAUUUACUAUAAAAGGGACUCCUGGAUUGGCUCAGUGGUUGAGCAUCUGCCCCUGGCUCAGGGCGUGAUCCUGGAGUGCUGGGAUCAAGUCCCACAUCAGGCUUCCUGCAUGGAGCCUGCUUCUCUCUAUGUCUAUGUCUCUGCCUCUCUCUCUAUGUGUCUCAUGAAUAAAUAAAUAAAAUCUUUAAAAAAAUAUUUACUAUAAAGUUAUAGUAACCAAGACAGUGUGGGGACCCCUGGGUGGCUCAGUAGUUGAGUGUCUGCUUUUGGCUCAGGGCAUGGUCCUGGGGUCUGGGGAUUGAGUCCUGCAUCGGUUAAAAGAAAAAAAGGCAGUGUGGUGUUUAUGUAAGCACAGAGAUACAAACCAAUGAAAUAGAGGGUCUAGACAUGAACCCAAAUAUAUAGUCAACUGAUUUUUUUUAAAAGAUGCCAAGAUUAUUCAAUGGAGAAGGGAUAGUGUUUUCAACAAUUAUCUAUGUGCAGAAGCAUGAAUUUUAACCGUUACUUCAUAUCAUACAUAAAAGUUAACUCAAAAUGGAUUAUAGGGGCACCUGGGUGGCUCAGUCAGUUAAGCAUCUGACUCUUGGUUUCAGCUCAGGUCAUGAUCUCAGGAUCAUGGGGCCAAGCCCUGCAUUGAGCUCCAAGCUCAGUGUGGAGUCGGCUUGAGAUUCUCUCUCUCCCUCUCCCUUUGCAUUUCCCCAAACUUGUGCUCUCUCUCACCCUCUCUAAAACUAAAUAAAUAAAGUUUUUUUUAAAAAAAUGGACUUAGUACACUUAAUAGACUCAUAGACUUAAAUGUCAGAGUUAAACCUAUAAAACUUCCAGAAGAGCAAAAAUAUUUGUAACCUCACAUUAGGAAAAGAGUUUUGACAAAUGGCACAAAAAGCAGGGACCAUGAAAGAAGAAAUUGAUAAACUGGACUUCUACAGAAUUUCAAAAUUUUACUCUG
Molecule: long non-coding RNA, 2388 nt
Filed under: Canis lupus familiaris (dog)
Lineage: Eukaryota; Metazoa; Chordata; Mammalia; Carnivora; Canidae
Description: lncRNA (ENSCAFG00000052511.1)
Source: RNAcentral